GGGAGUGAAAAAGAACCUGAAACCGUGUACGUACAAGCAGUGGGAGCACAGAGCAAUCUGUGUGACUGCGUACCUUUUGUAUAAUGGGUCAGCGACUUAUAUUCUGUAGCAAGGUUAACCGAAUAGGGGAGCCGAAGGGAAACCGAGUCUUAACUGGGCGUUAAGUUGCAGGGUAUAGACCCGAAACCCGGUGAUCUAGCCAUGGGCAGGUUGAAGGUUGGGUAACACUAACUGGAGGACCGAACCGACUAAUGUUGAAAAAUUAGCGGAUGACUUGUGGCUGGGGGUGAAAGGCCAAUCAAACCGGGAGAUAGCUGGUUCUCCCCGAAAGCUAUUUAGGUAGCGCCUCGUGAAUUCAUCUCCGGGGGUAGAGCACUGUUUCGGCAAGGGGGUCAUCCCGACUUACCAACCCGAUGCAAACUGCGAAUACCGGAGAAUGUUAUCACGGGAGACACACGGCGGGUGCUAACGUCCGUCGUGAAGAGGGAAACAACCCAGACCGCCAGCUAAGGUCCCAAAGUCAUGGUUAAGUGGGAAACGAUGUGGGAAGGCCCAGACAGCCAGGAUGUUGGCUUAGAAGCAGCCAUCAUUUAAAGAAAGCGUAAUAGCUCACUGGUCGAGUCGGCCUGCGCGGAAGAUGUAACGGGGCUAAACCAUG
RNAcentral lists this ribosomal RNA (658 nucleotides) under Escherichia coli. RNAcentral's name for it is "partial 23S ribosomal RNA". It matches the Rfam family "Bacterial large subunit ribosomal RNA", at positions 534 to 1191 of the family's 2925-position model. The record is from RNAcentral. Lineage: Bacteria; Pseudomonadati; Pseudomonadota; Gammaproteobacteria; Enterobacterales; Enterobacteriaceae.